Molecule: long non-coding RNA, 858 nt
Organism: Peromyscus leucopus (white-footed mouse)
Lineage: Eukaryota; Metazoa; Chordata; Mammalia; Rodentia; Cricetidae
Exons: 3
Source: RefSeq, a predicted model, not a curated record
AUUUCCCAAGCUGCCUUUCUCUACAUUGGAACACUACUACAAACUACCUUUCCCACAAUGCUUUUCAGGUCUGACACUUCUAGUUCCCUUUACACAGGGAAAGUAUAGUUUCUGCUUUUAGCACGGGAAGUUUGAGCCAAGCUUUUUGCUUUUUCACCAUGGGAGAUCGAGAGAUUUCUGCUUCCCAGAGCUAGUGUUGCUAGGUGUUCUUCUUUCUUGACACUGUUGCCAAAGCUGAGUGUACCUGCUGUCUUUUUGUAUGGGCAGGUCUUUUUGUGCCUGAAGCAAAAUUCCCUCAGGGCUUGCUCUUCUGCGUUACCAGCAGAUCACAAAGAACUUCUCCCCGACCUCCCUUCUAUCAACUCAUUCCAUUAUCCCAGCCUCCAACACCAGCAGGCAUUCACAGGGAAUAUAUCUGCUAAGCAGGCCAGGGAAACAGCAAUCUGCCUUCUCAGCUCCUUCAAGGAAGAGAUGCCUGAGGUCUCCAUGAUGACAGCUAAUUGAAUGCUCCCCGACUCCCAAUUUCUCCCUCUCCACUUCAUCACAAAUCAGCAGGAAGCAGUCUUGAGAAUUUGGCGCCUCUCAUUCCUGCCAUCCAUAAUUUACCCUUUUUAUAAUGAUCAAAAAUGAGGGAUGUUAACAUUCAGACUAGCCCUUGGAGGCCUGGUCAAUAUGUAGGCAAUACCUUGUCCUGCUCAGGGCCCUGACAACAUCAUGCACUCAUUGCUACAUGACUUCUCUGUGCAUGCAUGAAGUCCCCACAUAAAAGGUGGGCCCACUGCUCACCUUCUCUCUUUUCUCUCUUCUUCUCUCUUUAGCCCCCUGCCUGUUCUCUUUCCCUCUCUUCCUCCCUCCUUG